This 253-nucleotide ribosomal RNA is filed under the name uncultured bacterium. Its description in RNAcentral is "partial 16S ribosomal RNA". It matches the Rfam family "Bacterial small subunit ribosomal RNA", at positions 524 to 776 of the family's 1533-position model. The record is from RNAcentral.
UACGUAGGGUGCGAGCGUUAAUCGGAAUUACUGGGCGUAAAGCGUGCGCAGGCGGUUUUGUAAGUCAGAUGUGAAAGCCCCGGGCUCAACCUGGGAACUGCGUUUGAAACUGCAAGGCUAGAGUGUAGCAGAGGGGGGUAGAAUUCCACGUGUAGCAGUGAAAUGCGUAGAGAUGUGGAGGAAUACCAAUGGCGAAGGCAGCCCCCUGGGUUAACACUGACGCUCAUGCACGAAAGCGUGGGGAGCAAACAGG